GACGAACGCUGGCGGCGUGCUUAACACAUGCAAGUCGAACGGAAAGGCCCUGCUUUUGUGGGGUGCUCGAGUGGCGAACGGGUGAGUAACACGUGAGUAACCUGCCCUUGACUUUGGGAUAACUUCAGGAAACUGGGGCUAAUAUCGGAUAGGAGCUCCUGCAGCAUGGUGGGGGUUGGAAAGUUUCGGCGGUUGGGGAUGGACUCGCGGCUUAUCAGCUUGUUGGUGGGGUAGUGGCUUACCAAGGCUUUGACGGGUAGCCGGCCUGAGAGGGUGACCGGCGACAUUGGGACUGAGAUACGGCCCAGACUCCUACUGGAGGCAGCAGUGGGGAAUAUUGCACAAUGGGCGGAAGCCUGAUGCAGCAACGCCGCGUGCGGGAUGACGGCCUUCGGGUUGUAAACCGCUUUCGCCUGUGACGAAGCGUGAGUGACGGUAAUGUGUAAAGAAGCACCGGCUAACUACGUG
This 468-nucleotide ribosomal RNA is filed under the name uncultured bacterium. RNAcentral describes it as "partial 16S ribosomal RNA". It matches the Rfam family "Bacterial small subunit ribosomal RNA", at positions 28 to 507 of the family's 1533-position model. The record is from RNAcentral.